This 253-nucleotide ribosomal RNA is filed under the name uncultured bacterium. RNAcentral describes it as "partial 16S ribosomal RNA". It matches the Rfam family "Bacterial small subunit ribosomal RNA", at positions 524 to 776 of the family's 1533-position model. The record is from RNAcentral.
UACGUAGGGUGCGAGCGUUGUCCGGAAUUAUUGGGCGUAAAGAGCUCGUAGGCGGCCUGUUGCGUCCGCUGUGAAAGCCCCGGGGCUUAACCCCGGGUCGCAGUGGAUACGGGCAGGCUAGAGGUAGGUAGGGGAGAAUGGAAUUCCCGGUGUAGCGGUGAAAUGCGCAGAUAUCGGGAGGAACACCGGUGGCGAAGGCGGUUCUCUGGGCCUUACCUGACGCUGAGGAGCGAAAGCGUGGGGAGCGAACAGG